GUUCUAUUGCAGAGGGGUACAUAGCAGAAGAAUGUACAACCUUUUGUUCAAGAUAUUUGCAUGAUGUUGAAACGAAGCAUGACCGUGAAGAAAGAAAUUAUGUCAUUGAAAAUAACAUAACAAAUGGUGGAGGGUUAACCAUUUUCAAAUGCAUGGGACGUACAAUAGGAAAGUCAACAUCUCGUGUUCUUAGCACAGAAGAAUGGUCCCAAGCACAUUUAUAUGUGUUGACUAAUUGUGAGGAAGUGACGUCAUUUAUUGAAGAGCAUAAGCAAUCUAUAAGGGUUAAGCCUCGUAUUCGUGCACGAGAUGUAGAUUUGAUUCACAGAAGAGAAUUCAUUAGUUGGUUUGAAGAACGUAUUAUACAAAUGCGACAUGAAGGUCCAAUUUCUGAACACAUACUAUCAUUGUCUCGUGGACCAAGUACAUCAGUUACAUGUUAUAGAGGAUACAUCAUUAAUGGGUUCAGAUUUCACACAAGAGAACGAGAAAA
Molecule: long non-coding RNA, 493 nt
Organism: Vitis riparia (riverbank grape)
Lineage: Eukaryota; Viridiplantae; Streptophyta; Magnoliopsida; Vitales; Vitaceae
Exons: 3
Source: RefSeq, a predicted model, not a curated record